Molecule: long non-coding RNA, 3814 nt
Organism: Eriocheir sinensis (Chinese mitten crab)
Lineage: Eukaryota; Metazoa; Arthropoda; Malacostraca; Decapoda; Varunidae
Exons: 2
Source: RefSeq, a predicted model, not a curated record
CCUUGCAGCAACUCUUCGACAUCAGGUUCAGGUUUAAGCUCAGGUUUGACAGCUCCGCGCGGGCUCCUUUGAGGCUUUGACGCUCCUUCGAAUGCCCUUGUUUAUUAUGCCGGUAAGACUUAGUAAGAUCUCUUGUCCCGUGGCUUGCCUUUUACUAUUCCAUUUGGCGAAAGUUAGGCGUGGUUAUGUUGAUUUGGAGACUUUACUGCAGUCGUUCUGAAAUAGUUUACCUCUAAGAUCUCUAUGUUUUUCCAAGACCCAAAAUUCCACCGAAUGUUAAAAGAAUAUCAAUGGCAUAAAUCUUAACAAAGAGAAAACGUUAAGCUCAGCAUCGUGUAAAUGUUCAGUAAGGUUUAUAAAAGCUCUUGGAGACACUUAGAUAAUCCAGAUUUCAAUAGACAUACAUCCUGUUGCCCGCCUUAAUAUUCAUGUUUUGUGUUUGUCAUAUUUUUUCUUGAAUGAUGUUGUAGAUGUAGCAUUAACUAUGUUUUCUGGGAGUGAGUUCCAUGUAUUUACAACUGUGUGUGUGAAAGUGUGUUGUGUUUGUUUUGUUGCAUCCGUUUGGAUUUUUUUUUUUUACAACAAAGGAGGCAGCUCAAGGGCACAAACAAAAUGGAAAUAAUAAUAAUAAAAAAAAGCCCGCUACUCGCUGCUCCUAAAAAAGAAUCAAAAGAUGUGGCCGAAAGUGAGGUCAAUUUCGGGAGGAGAGGUGUCCUGAUACCCUUCUCUUGAAAGAGUUCAAGUCGUAGGCAGGAGGAAAUACAGAUGAAAGAAGAUUGUUCCAGAGUUUACCAGCGUGAGGGAUGAGAGAGUGAAGAUGCUGGUUAACUCUUGCAUAAGGGGUUUGGACAGUAUAGGGAUGAGCAUGAGUAGAAAGUCGUGUGCAGCGGGGCCGCGGGAGGCAUGCAGUUAGCAAGUUCAGAAGAGCAGUCAGCGUGGAAAUAUCGAUAGAGGAUAGAAAGAGAGGCAACAUCGCGACGGAAUUUAAGAGGUAGAAGACUAUCAGUAGGAGGAGGAGAGCUGAUGAGACGAAGAGCCUUAGCCUCCACUCUGUCCAGAAGAGCUGUGUGGGUGGAGCCCCCCCAACACGUGAGAUGCAUACUCCAUACGAGGGCGGACAAGGCCCCUGUAUAUGGAUAGCAACUGCGCGGGGGAGAAGAACUGGCGGAGACGAUACAGAACGCCCAACCUCGAGGAAGCUGAUUUAGCGAGAGAGGAGAAAUGAAGUUUCCAGUUGAGAUUUUGAGUAAAGGAUAGACCGGGGAUGUUUAGUGUUGAAGAUGGUGAUAGCUGAGUGUUGUCGAAGAAUAGGGGAUAGGUGUUUGGAAGAUUGUGUCGAGCUGAUAGGUGGAGAAAUUGAGUUUUUGAGGCAUUGAAGGACACAAGGUUCCUUCUGUCCCAAUCGGAAAUGAUAGCAAGGUCUGAGGUUAAGCCUUCUGCAGCCUCCAGUAUAUUUGUUUGGAGUGGCCACUUCGUGUUGUGUUUGUGGUUUGGAAGAGUGUGUGUUUGUCAAUGUUUUCGAUGUGAUUUAGGAAUUCCCCUUCAUCUCACCAGGAGUGCCAUGAAGCAGAACUUUUCCUGUUGGACCCUCAAAAUGACUCCUUGUUUAGAAUUAAAUGCCAGUCAGUCAAAUACACAUAAACAGUGACUGUGUGUAUGAUAGAAAACCAGAGAUAAGCAUGAGCAGCAACAGCUACUUGAAGAAAUCUAUAUGUCAGGUCAAGUAUUCACGUAUCUUCGUUUGUAAUAAUAAUUCCAGGAAUCAAAACUUUCUGAUAACAACAAAGUACAUUACAAAACAGCACCUUUAUUACAGUACUUCAUUAUCAUUGAAAAACAUUACUACAACAUUUGUUCUAGGUAAACUUCUACAGGAUAUAGGAUCAACAAAUCUAUUAUACACAUGAGAAUUAACAAUGAAUAACAACUUGAGAAAAUUGUGUAAGUGGAGAACAUAGUAAAUGUAAUAGUUUCGAGCUAUAUGCUGUAGAUUACUAUCACAACACAGUUCUUCAGUAUGAUCAUUCCUAAAAUCUGCUUAAAAUUCGUCCAUGCUUACACAUUAUCAUAACCAUAAUAAUAAACAUGUUUCCCACAUAGACAGCAUGCAGGAAAACAUUUUUGAGUCAGAGGAGGAAGUGAUGCCCAGCUUAGUGGGCGAAAUCUUUCCCACUAUUUUUUUAUUCCUCCUAAAUGCAGAUAAGUAGAGGGAUGCAGUUUAUACAAUACCUCAUUUGUUUCUCUUAGAGAGCUGUGAGGCAAAAUAUUGCAAUAUAUCAUUAGAACAGCCCUUUUAGAGAGGUAAAUGAGCAGUACUGCUUUUCCGACUCCUCCAUGUCAAAGGACUGGAUACAUUGUCACCAAAACUUGGCUUAGAAUGUCCUCCAGUGGGAGACUUUCUUAACUCUAAGCCCCCUCACCACUACUGUCAGAAAUAAUUUCAGAGGAUAAUUCUUUGACCUGCAAGUUACUGUUCAUAUGUAUUAUUUGCUCAGAUUUGCACAGCUUUAAAAAUGGUAUGUGGGAUCACUCUUACAACACACAUCAUGGCACUUAACAGUAAUAAUUUGUGGAUAAUCAGACCCUGUAUUUAAUGUUUUAGUUGUGAAAGUCCAUUUAGCCACCAAGUUAAGAAUGGUGUUACCUUUGCCUGUCACAUUAGAACCCACAACCCUCAGGGUUCAUCUGAUAAAAUAUAAAAAAGCCUAAGAGUACAACUUGUUUCACUUGUUUCUUCUCAAAAUAAAUGUCACUUCCUCAAAAUUGAGCCCAGUACACAUGGCCUUACUAAGGAUAAUAUAGACUUAACAAUGAUGGAAACUCUAACUAUGAAGAAUGUAGCACUGAUGCAAACUACAUAGACUAAUUUUUUUACAAAUACCUUUGAUAUCUCUAUAUUGUAUUGCAUUUCUAACUCCUAUUAUCAUUAGCUAAAUAAAAGGUACUGAAGGCUCUGCUGGUUCAGUAUUAUGCUUCAGAGUAGUUUUUUUUGCAAGACUGAUCGUUUUUUAUUUUUUUAUUAUAAGCCUCGGUAUCAUGAAUGCUAUGAUGAAUGGUAUGUAGAUGUUAUACUUGAUUAAUUCAUACUGCUUGUAGCAUUAAGAGUGAGGCAAAUUUGUUUAGAUACACACACAUUAUUAUUAUUAUUAUUAUUAUUAUUAUUAUUAUUAUUAUUAUUAUUAUUAUUAUUAUUACUAUUAUUUAUAAUAUUAAUUAUAUUAUUAUUAUAAUUGUUAUGAUAGAUUAACUUGAAUUUUUUAUAGUUCCAGGACAACAGUCACACAAGAGUAGAAUCAGUAAGUAAGUAUCGAACACCCAUGCGUCAACUGAGUAGAAUUUGCGUGAAAGCUAUAGACAUGUUGUUGUGUUGGUUAGGUGAGCACCAGUAAAUAGACUCCACCCACUGGUACCCACCUAACCAACAUUUUGCUCAAAUUCUAUUCAAUCAACCCAUGGGUAUUCGAUACUUUUUUACUGAUUGUACAUUUACCAUCAAGUUAGAAUACAGACAUGUGCCAAUCAUAGUUUACAAUUUGGUGGGGUCAUGUUGAUCCCCAGACCUAAUUGUCCAAAGCCUCAGCGGUUCAGUCAUGUGAUUGGAAAAAGAAGCAGUGUGGGGUAUGAUAAGUAUCCCAUCUUUGCCCUUAACAUUAGGCCACCUUUUACAUUUGGGUGACUUUACUAGUGAUUAUGAUCUUACUGAGGGUUGGUCACCUGAAUUUUUGACAUCACUCUUUAUUCUGGUCCUGCCCUUAACCUCAAACAAGCGCACACCCACACUCACCCAUGCAUAUGUUCACAUCCACACCCACAC